Drosophila suzukii is the source of this 1434-nucleotide non-coding RNA. NCBI's taxonomy places the organism in Eukaryota, Metazoa, Arthropoda, Insecta, Diptera, Drosophilidae. The record is from RefSeq and is a predicted model, not a curated record.
AGUUCCCACCGCCGGGCACCGAAACACCCCGCUUUUUGUUUUGUGCCCGGCCGGUCUCAGAGGUGGUAUACAUCGAGAUGAGAGGCGUCGACUACACAGCGACUGUGCCGGAGCUUUUAAGUGCAAUGUCAGAUCCAGCCCCCAAAGCAAUUGUAAACUGUCCAGGCCCAGCACAACUUAAGAAAACCUCCUCACAAUAAAUAUCUGCUGUACUUAGAUCUAAUUCAUAAGAUAAUAUAUUUCACUUAAGAUCAGAAAACUCACCAUUAAUUAUGUGCUAGAUAGAUGGUUUUUGGGCAUACAAAUCAACUUGUCCAGAACAUUCUUCUCUCAAAUCCACUUGAUUUGAUAUCCCAAGGCCGUUAAAAUGAAUUUCUCUAACCUGGCAAUCGAUGUAAAUCAUUAGUCCAUUUAACCAUAAAAAGUCAAUAAAACAAACGCAAAAUGCUGUACAUAAAAAUUAAUUGCAUUGCUCGGGCCAAAACAUUUUGGCGAACUAGUGGGGUGAAACAAAAACAAAUAAAUAAGUUAAACAGGUUCUGAACAACUCGUUGUUGGGCCCAUUAGAGGUGGUGUAUGCAGUUAUUGGGGUCGCCAUUGAGCGAUUGCUGGUUGUUUUGGUCAGGUUGGGGCACUAGAUGUUGGCCCUGAAACCGAAACUUUGGCGGAGCGUGUGAACAACCCAAACAAGCUGGCGAAAAUUCGCAAUAUAAUGCAGGUCGAGUGGCCAUUGUGAUGGAUUUUCUAGAUGGCUAGAUGACGUUCUCCACUCUCUAUACUUAAUACCUAAUUCCCGAUAAUCUUGCUUAGAAAGCGCUUGAUUUAUGGGGCUGUCGCCUUUUAUCUUGGCCCGUGACGUAUGGCUCAUCGGUGUCCAGUUCGUUUUUGCUAAAAUGCUGUGUGGCUGUCAUAAAUUAAUCCACUUAAAUUGUAUUAUAUAAGCUGGCUGGCUGGCGUGAGUUUCUGAAUUGUAUUUCUUUGUUUUAUUUGUGUUGAUAGCUUGUUUGACUGACCUGCCCCAACUUGGAAUGUUUUUUUUUGCGUUCUACUAUAUAUUAUAUGAAUAUACUGAUUCAUUGGCAUGCAAGGCAAUGAAUAACGCGGUAGCAGCUGUAUGAAACACAAAAUAUUAGUGUGAAUUUUAUUUAUGAACAAUUUGAUGACUCUUCUGGGUAUUUUCUGUUCUGAUGCUCAAAGCUAAGUAAAAGAAACUAUGGAAUUGGGAGCUGUUCGCUUGUGGCUCCCAUAUGGUCUAGUGGCUAGGAUAUCUGGCUUUCACCCAGAAGGCCCGGGUUCGAUUCCCGGUAUGGGAAAACUUUUUGCCACUUUUUUUUUUCUUUUUUCUUUCGCAUUUCUUGGAGGUUAACCGGAUAUCAAACACACAUACACAUUGGUGGUUUUUUUCUAGUUAGCCUUUAGUGGUAUUCCCAAAAA